This 168-nucleotide small RNA is filed under the name Corynebacterium timonense. Its description in RNAcentral is "Magnesium sequence". It matches the Rfam family "M-box riboswitch aptamer (ykoK leader)". Rfam says of the family: M-box riboswitch, also know as ykoK leader is described as a metaloregulatory RNA that sense divalent metals and function as a genetic control element of genes related to divalent metal transport in bacteria. The record is from Rfam by way of RNAcentral. Lineage: Bacteria; Bacillati; Actinomycetota; Actinomycetes; Mycobacteriales; Corynebacteriaceae.
GCACCACCUCGUUCGGUGAGGCUCCUGUACGCACACAGGCCACUGAGCUAGCGCGCAUCGAGAGAUAGCGACAGCUUAGGACAGAUAUUCUCGGCGCAAGGGUUUAUCCAAAGUGGCUCCGUUUCGGUUACGGCGUACAGUGCCAAAGCUCUUACGUGGAGGGGUAGC